This 395-nucleotide long non-coding RNA is filed under the name Arabidopsis lyrata. RNAcentral's name for it is "long non-coding RNA (ALYR_LNC000947)". The record is from RNAcentral. Lineage: Eukaryota; Viridiplantae; Streptophyta; Magnoliopsida; Brassicales; Brassicaceae.
CCCCAACUUCGGUCUAUUACAGAGUUUUCAAUGUUGACAUGAACAAAACACAGAGCAUGGUCCUUCACAAUUCGAAAAAGGUAAAUCUUCUCCUAUUGCGUUGCUUUGGACAACUCUUUUUUGGAAAAUAAAUUUCCCCCAUUUUCUUCUUUUGCUUGGAGUGAUUUAUUUGUUGAUCUUUAAUCUUUUGAAGUUAGUCUUCUAUGUGGAGUCCAUCAUGGAGACUAGUAUUAUUCAUUUAGUUGCAAGCUAUCCAGAUCGUUGGAGCUCCCCAUCAGAUAAAUUGUCAAGCUUUUGUCUUUAUUUUCAAUGUAUCAAUGUAAUUGUGUCUUUAAUUCUGCAUCGUAUGAUCUUUCUUAUUUUGAGAUUCUACAAUUUGCUUGACAAAAAAAAUC